GAUAAACGCUGGCGGCGCACAUAAGACAUGCAAGUUGAACGGACUUAAUCGAAAUAUUUAUAUUUUGAAGCGGUUAGUGGCGGACUGGUGAGUAACGCGUAAGGAACCUGCCUAUUAGAGGGGAAUAACAGUGAGAAAUCAUUGCUAAUACCGCAUAUGCCAUAGAUAUCACAUGAUAACAGUGGGAAAGGAGCAAUCCGCUAAUAGAUGGCCUUGCGUCUGAUUAGAUAGUUGGUGGGGUAACGGCCUACCAAGUCGACGAUCAGUAGCCGGACUGAGAGGUUGAACGGCCACAUUGGGACUGAGAUACGGCCCAGACUCCUACGGGAGGCAGCAGUCGGGAAUAUUGCGCAAUGGAGGAAACUCUGACGCAGGGACGCCGCGUAUAGGAAGAAGGUUUUCGGAUUGUAAACUAUUGUCGUUAGGGAAAAGAAAGGACAGUACCUAAGGAGGAAGCUCCGGCUAACUACGUG
This 473-nucleotide ribosomal RNA is filed under the name uncultured bacterium. RNAcentral's name for it is "partial 16S ribosomal RNA". It matches the Rfam family "Bacterial small subunit ribosomal RNA", at positions 28 to 507 of the family's 1533-position model. The record is from RNAcentral.